RNAcentral lists this ribosomal RNA (420 nucleotides) under uncultured bacterium. RNAcentral's name for it is "bacterial SSU rRNA". It matches the Rfam family "Bacterial small subunit ribosomal RNA", at positions 917 to 1341 of the family's 1533-position model. The record is from RNAcentral.
GGGCCCGCACAAGCGGUGGAGCAUGUGGUUUAAUUCGAUGAUACGCGAGGAACCUUACCAGGGCUUAAAUGCAGAACGACCGGGGUGGAAACACCCCUUUCUUCGGACGGUCUGCAAGGUGCUGCAUGGUUGUCGUCAGCUCGUGCUGUGAAGUGUCGGGUUAAGUCCCAUAACGAGCGCAACCCCUAUUUCUAGUUGCCAGCGGUUCGGCCGGGGACUCUAGAGAAACUGCCAGCGUAAGCUGUGAGGAAGGUGGGGAUGACGUCAAAUCAUCACGGCCCUUACGUCCUGGGCCACACACGUGCUACAAUGGUGGGGACAACGAGUCGCUAACCCGCGAGGGUAAGCUAAUCUUCAAACCCCAUCUCAGUUCGGAUCGGAGUCUGCAACUCGACUCCGUGAAGUUGGAAUCGCUAGUAA